AGAGUGGAGCAGGGCUGCGAUCGUUACUGUGGCCUGUCAGGGGUGAUGGAGCAGUGCGGGAUCCGUUGUAGGAAGUGGAGCAGGGCCGCCAAGGGGCGCAGAUCUAUUGGCUGAAGCUCGGCAGCGGUCGGAGUCCGGCCUCUGUAGGAAUCCGGGCGGAGUCUUCCCGCAAUCAAAGUUAAAGGUGAAGCCCGGCUCCCAUAGGAGUCCGGAC
This 214-nucleotide long non-coding RNA is filed under the name Elaeis guineensis (African oil palm). RNAcentral's name for it is "long non-coding RNA (EGUI_LNC078847)". Lineage: Eukaryota; Viridiplantae; Streptophyta; Magnoliopsida; Arecales; Arecaceae. The record is from RNAcentral.